Molecule: long non-coding RNA, 523 nt
Filed under: Manacus vitellinus (golden-collared manakin)
Lineage: Eukaryota; Metazoa; Chordata; Aves; Passeriformes; Pipridae
Description: lncRNA (ENSMVIG00005000937.1)
Source: RNAcentral
AAUGUAGGAAACAACAUUCUACAUAAUUAUUUUACAACAGCAAGAUUUUAUGUGCUAUUUUAGAUGUUUCCCUUGUUUUUCAUUUUAAAAGAAGAAUAUAAACUUUCUAGAACAAAACAUGCUGAGGAUGGCUUUCAGCUGCCACGUUCUUAGCUUAAGCCAAGUGCCUUGGAAGUGCAGAUAUUUUCAGGAACAGCAUAACAUACACAUAAAGACAUAUUUCAAGUGAUCCGCAGGGUUUUUACUUAUUCUGGUAUACGCACAGUAGAUGCUGCAAGAACAAAGACUGAAUUUGGCACUUUAUUGAGAUGUAGAAAUUCAACAGCAGGAAAUAAUCUUCCUUGAAAGAAACCCCUAUUUCCGUCCUCCUUUUUUUAUACAUCCUUUAGUAGCUGAUCACUUAAAACAGGUGCUGUAAUUCAUGAUUGGACAUUAAACGUUUACGAUGGAUGGUGUCUGUGUUUAGAGACAACUUUAUGUACCAGUGCUUGUAAGGCACUUCCUCUCAGGAAUCAAAUGGAAU